Molecule: ribosomal RNA, 468 nt
Filed under: uncultured bacterium
Lineage: Bacteria
Description: partial 16S ribosomal RNA
Rfam family: Bacterial small subunit ribosomal RNA
Source: RNAcentral
GACGAACGCUGGCGGCGUGCUUAACACAUGCAAGUCGAACGGAAAGGCCCUGCUUGUGUGGGGUGCUCGAGUGGCGAACGGGUGAGUAACACGUGAGUAACCUUCCCUUUACGUUGGGAUAACUGCAGGAAACUGGGGCUAAUGCCGGCUAGGAGCUCCGGCUGGAUGGGGGUGGUUGGAAAGUUUAGGCGGUUGGGGAUGGACUGGCGGCUUAUCAGCUUGUUGGUGGGGUAGUGGCUUACCAAGGCUUUGACGGGUAGCCGGCCUGAGAGGGUGACCGGCCACAUUGGGACUGAGAUACGGCCCAGACUCCUACGGGAGGCAGCAGUGGGGAAUAUUGCACAAUGGGCGGAAGCCUGAUGAAGCAACGCCGCGUGCGGGAUGACGGCCUUCGGGUUGUAAACCGCUUUAGCCUGUGACGAAGCGUGAGUGACGGUAAUGGGUAAAGAAGCACCGGCUAACUACGUG